Molecule: ribosomal RNA, 267 nt
Filed under: uncultured bacterium
Lineage: Bacteria
Description: partial 16S ribosomal RNA
Rfam family: Bacterial small subunit ribosomal RNA
Source: RNAcentral
UACAGAGGGUGCGAGCGUUAAAUCGGAAUUACUGGGCUAAAGCGCGCGUAGGUGGCUAUGCAAGUCGGAUGUGAAAUCCCCGGGCUCAACCUGGGAACUGCAUUGAGACUGCAUUGCUCGAGUAUGGGAGAGGGAAGGUGGAAUUUCCGGUGUAGCGGGUGAAAUGCGUAGAUAUCGGAAGGAACAUCAGUGGCGAAAGCGACUUCCUGGACCAAUACUGACACUCAAGUGCGAAAGCGUGGGGAGCAAACAGGAUUAGAAUACCCC